Molecule: ribosomal RNA, 253 nt
Filed under: uncultured bacterium
Lineage: Bacteria
Description: partial 16S ribosomal RNA
Rfam family: Bacterial small subunit ribosomal RNA
Source: RNAcentral
UACGAAGGGUGCAAACGUUGCUCGGAAUCAUUGGGCGUAAAGGGCUCGUAGGCGGCCAACUAAGUCAUACGUGAAAUCCCUCGGCUUAACCGGGGAACUGCGUCUGAUACUGGAUGGCUUGAGAUUGGGAGAGGGAUGCGGAAUUCCAGGUGUAGCGGUGAAAUGCGUAGAUAUCUGGAGGAACACCGGUGGCGAAGGCGGCAUCCUGGACCAACACUGACGCUGAGGAGCGAAAGCCAGGGGAGCAAACGGG